RNAcentral lists this ribosomal RNA (253 nucleotides) under uncultured bacterium. RNAcentral's name for it is "partial 16S ribosomal RNA". It matches the Rfam family "Bacterial small subunit ribosomal RNA", at positions 524 to 776 of the family's 1533-position model. The record is from RNAcentral.
CACGUAGGGCGCAAGCGUUGUCCGGAAUUAUUGGGCGUAAAGAGCUCGUAGGUGGUUUGUUACGUCUGCUGUGAAAACCUAGGGCUUAACCCUGGGCUUGCAGUGGAUACGGGCAGACUAGAGGUAGGUAGGGGAGAUUGGAAUUCCUGGUGUAGCGGUGGAAUGCGCAGAUAUCAGGAGGAACACCGAUGGCGAAGGCAGAUCUCUGGGCCGUAACUGACGCUGAGGAGCGAAAGCAUGGGGAGCGAACAGG